This 253-nucleotide ribosomal RNA is filed under the name uncultured bacterium. RNAcentral describes it as "partial 16S ribosomal RNA". It matches the Rfam family "Bacterial small subunit ribosomal RNA", at positions 524 to 776 of the family's 1533-position model. The record is from RNAcentral.
UACGGGGGGGGCAAGCGUUGUUCGGAAUUACUGGGCGUAAAGGGCUCGUAGGCGGCCAACUAAGUCCGACGUGAAAUCCCCAGGCUUAACCUGGGAACUGCGUCGGAUACUGGAUGGCUUGAAUUCGGGAGAGGGAUGCAGAAUUCCAGGUGUAGCGGUGAAAUGCGUAGAUAUCUGGAGGAACACCGGUGGCGAAGGCGGCAUCCUGGACCGAAAUUGACGCUGAGACGCGAAAGCCAGGGGAGCAAACGGG